GGGAAAGUGGCUCAGUGGUAAAGUGCUUGCCUUGCAUGCAUGAGGUCCUGGGUUCGAUUCCUCAGCACCA
This is a non-coding RNA of Dipodomys ordii (Ord's kangaroo rat), 70 nucleotides long. Lineage: Eukaryota; Metazoa; Chordata; Mammalia; Rodentia; Heteromyidae. The record is from Rfam.